Molecule: ribosomal RNA, 230 nt
Filed under: uncultured bacterium
Lineage: Bacteria
Description: partial 16S ribosomal RNA
Rfam family: Bacterial small subunit ribosomal RNA
Source: RNAcentral
AAAGCGUGCGCAGGCGGUUUGUAAGACUGUCGUGAAAUCCCCGGGCCUCAACCUGGGAAUGGCGAUGGUGACUGCAAGGCUAGAGUUUGGCAGAGGGGGGUAGAAUUCCACGUGUAGCAGUGAAAUGCGUAGAUAUGUGGAGGAACACCGAUGGCGAAGGCAGCCCCCUGGGUCAAAACUGACGCUCAUGCACGAAAGCGUGGGGAGCAAACAGGAUUAGAUACCCGAGU